RNAcentral lists this long non-coding RNA (606 nucleotides) under Musa acuminata (dwarf banana). RNAcentral's name for it is "long non-coding RNA (MACU_LNC004055)". Lineage: Eukaryota; Viridiplantae; Streptophyta; Magnoliopsida; Zingiberales; Musaceae. The record is from RNAcentral.
UUUCAUCUCGUCAUCUCCUUCAGGUGUCAUGGCCUUCGAACUUGGUGACUUCCCUAUGAUUGCCUUCUUUACCUUGACAAUUGAUUUCUUCACCUUUGAUAUUAUGUUGUUCCCCUGGCUUUUAGAAGAUUUCUUACUGGGAACAUCUGUCUUCCGAGCCUCUUCUUCUACUUUUGUAUCACCACUGUCUUUGGUGGUUUCAGCUGAGCACUGAUCAACAACCUUUUCGGUCUCUUGUUUUUUGUCUUCUGAACUUUCUAACUCUUUAGAAUCACAUUCUGGAUCGUUACGAGAUGCCUUGUUGUUGUUUUCAGCUCCAACUAAGUUGAUGUCUCGAGAUGCUUCAGCCACAGUCAACUUUUCACUUUCCAAACUCUCAUUCUUCAUCUGAUUAAUCUUUACUUCUUCAGAGAUUCCAGUCACUUCACUUUCAACAAUUGUUUGGAUUGUCUCGCCUAAGGUUGUUUUAUCGACAUCUAUAGUGCUUCCUUUCGUCUCUUUCUUAACAUCGACUUCUGGCUCAACUGCACAUUCAGCAACUUCAGUUGCCGGGAUGGUAUCAGAAACUUCUAUGACACUUGUGGCUGACACUCUUUCUUCUCCCGC